CCUGGGCUGGGCCAUGGUGAUGAUGUGCUGAAGCUGUGGCUGGGUGCACAUAUAGUCAGAGGAGCUCUGUUUUAGG
Molecule: microRNA precursor, 76 nt
Filed under: Gallus gallus (chicken)
Lineage: Eukaryota; Metazoa; Chordata; Aves; Galliformes; Phasianidae
Description: microRNA gga-mir-1354 precursor
Source: miRBase by way of RNAcentral